UACGUAGGGUGCAAGCGUUAAUCGGAAUUACUGGGCGUAAAGCGUGCGCAGGCGGUUCUAUAAGACAGAUGUGAAAUCCCCGGGCUCAACCUGGGAACUGCAUUUGUGACUGUAGAGCUGGAGUGCGGCAGAGGGGGAUGGAAUUCCGCGUGUAGCAGUGAAAUGCGUAGAUAUCAAGAGGAACACCUGAGGUGAAGACGGGUUGCUGGGCCGACACUGACGCUGAUGCGCGAAAGCCAGGGGAGCAAACGGG
RNAcentral lists this ribosomal RNA (253 nucleotides) under uncultured prokaryote. RNAcentral's name for it is "partial 16S ribosomal RNA". It matches the Rfam family "Bacterial small subunit ribosomal RNA", at positions 524 to 776 of the family's 1533-position model. The record is from RNAcentral.